ACGCAAGCUGCAGUCGACGAUUCCUACGGGAGGCAGCAGCAGGGAAUAUUGCACAAUGGGCGCAAGCCUGAUGCAGCGACGCCGCGUGAGGGAUGAAGGCUUUCGGGUUGUAAACCUCUUUCAGUGGGGAAGAAGCGCAAGUGACGGUACCCACACAAGAAGGCCCGGCCAACUACGUGCCAGCAGCCGCGGUAAUACGUAGGGGCCAAGCGUUAUCCGGAUUUAUUGGGCGUAAAGAGCACGUAGGUGGCAUGGUAAGUCAAAGGUGAAAGCCCUCGGCUCAACCGAGGAAUUGCCUUUGAAACUGCUUUGCUUGAGUCCGGGAGGGGGGAGCGGAAUUCCCAGUGUAGCGGUGAAAUGCGUAGAUACUGGGAGGAACACCGGUGGCGAAGGCGGCUCCCUGGACCGGUACUGACACUGAGGUGCGAAAGCGUGGGUAGCAAACAGGAUUAGAUACCCUGGUAGUCCACGCCGUAAACGAUGGGCACUAGGUGCAGCGGGUGUCGACCCCUGCUGUGCCGUAGUUAACGCAUUAAGUGCUCCGCCUGGGGAGUACGGUCGCAAGGUUGAAACUCAAAUGAAUUGACGG
This 589-nucleotide ribosomal RNA is filed under the name uncultured Terriglobales bacterium. Its description in RNAcentral is "bacterial SSU rRNA". It matches the Rfam family "Bacterial small subunit ribosomal RNA", at positions 317 to 916 of the family's 1533-position model. The record is from RNAcentral. Lineage: Bacteria; Pseudomonadati; Acidobacteriota; Terriglobia; Terriglobales.